Molecule: ribosomal RNA, 753 nt
Filed under: Phrynosoma solare
Lineage: Eukaryota; Metazoa; Chordata; Lepidosauria; Squamata; Phrynosomatidae
Description: partial 12S ribosomal RNA
Rfam family: Bacterial small subunit ribosomal RNA
Source: RNAcentral
ACCCCAGUGAAAUAUGCCCUAAUAAAGUAAACGGAGCAGGUAUCAGGCACGAACACUCAGCCCAAAACACCAAGCCACGCCACACCCACACGGGCCAUCAGCAGUGAUAAACAUUAAGCAAUAAGCGCCCUCAUUCCAAGCUUGACUUAGCUAUGAUUAACGUGGGCCGGUCAACCUCGUGCCAGCCACCGCGGUUAUACGAGAGGCCCAAAGUAGCAGUCCCCGGCGUAAAUCGUGAUAAGAACACAUACCACAACCUAAAAACUAAACAAUGCCCUAACCGUAAAACACAGGCCAAAUGAAACCCAAAAUUUUUAGUACACUGGUAGUUUGACUCACGAAGACUAAGAAACAAACUAGGAUUAGAUACCCUACUAUGCUUAGUUGUUAAUACGGUAUCUUAAUACAUAAAAUACCCGCCAGAAGAUUACGAGCGAAAAGCUUAAAACUCAAAGGACUUGGCGGUGCUCCACACCCGACUUAGAGGAGCCUGUCCUAUAAUCGAUACUCCACGAUAAACCUCACCACCCAUUGCCUAAAACAGCCUAUAUACCGCCGUCGCCAACUUACCCCAUGAGGGCUUAAUAGUAAGUACAAUAGUACAUCAACUAAAACGUCAGGUCAAGGUGUAGCUAAUAGGGUGGAAGAGAUGGGCUACAUUUUUUAAAAUAAAACAAACGGCAUGAAACCAUGAAACUGGUUUCUGAAGGAGGAUUUAACAGUAAAAUUAUUGAGAAAACUAAUUUUAAACUA